UACGUAGGGUGCAAGCGUUGUCCGGAAUUACUGGGCGUAAAGGGCUCGUAGGCGGCCAACUAAGUCAGACGUGAAAUCCCUCGGCUUAACCGGGGAACUGCGUCUGAUACUGGAUGGCUAGAGGUUGGGAGAGGGAUGCGGAAUUCCAGGUGUAGCGGUGAAAUGCGUAGAUAUCUGGAGGAACACCGGUGGCGAAGGCGGCAUCCUGGACCAAUUCUGACGCUGAGGAGCGAAAGCCAGGGGAGCAAACGGG
This 253-nucleotide ribosomal RNA is filed under the name uncultured bacterium. RNAcentral describes it as "partial 16S ribosomal RNA". It matches the Rfam family "Bacterial small subunit ribosomal RNA", at positions 524 to 776 of the family's 1533-position model. The record is from RNAcentral.